RNAcentral lists this ribosomal RNA (253 nucleotides) under uncultured bacterium. Its description in RNAcentral is "partial 16S ribosomal RNA". It matches the Rfam family "Bacterial small subunit ribosomal RNA", at positions 524 to 776 of the family's 1533-position model. The record is from RNAcentral.
UACGUAGGGUGCAAGCGUUAUUCGGAAUUACUGGGCGUAAAGCGUGCGCAGGCGGUUAUGUAAGACAGUUGUGAAAUCCCCGGGCUCAACCUGGGAACUGCAUCUGUGACUGCCUAGCUAGAGUACGGUAGAGGGGGAUGGAAUUCCGCGUGUAGCGGUGAAAUGCGUAGAUAUGCGGAGGAACACCGAUGGCGAAGGCAAUCCCCUGGACCUGUACUGACGCUCAUGCACGAAAGCGUGGGGAGCAAACAGG